This 515-nucleotide ribosomal RNA is filed under the name Raffaelea arxii. RNAcentral describes it as "partial large subunit ribosomal RNA". It matches the Rfam family "Eukaryotic large subunit ribosomal RNA", at positions 76 to 501 of the family's 3401-position model. The record is from RNAcentral. Lineage: Eukaryota; Fungi; Ascomycota; Sordariomycetes; Ophiostomatales; Ophiostomataceae.
UGCCUCAGUAACGGCGAGUGAAGCGGCAAAAGCUCAAAUUUGAAAUCUGGCCCCCCCCGCGGGGGUCCGAGUUGUAAUUUGCAGAGGAUGCUUUGGGCGCGGCGCCUUCCGAGUGCCUUGGAACAGGUCGCCUCAGAGGGUGAGAGCCCCGUACGGUUGGACGCCUAGCCCGUGUAAAGCUCCUUCAACGAGUCGAGUAGUUUGGGAAUGCUGCUCAAAAUGGGAGGUAAAUUCCUUCUAAAGCUAAAUACUGGCCAGAGACCGAUAGCGCACAAGUAGAGUGAUCGAAAGGUGAAAAGCACUUUGAAAAGAGAGUCAAAUAGCACGUGAAAUUGUUAAAAGGGAAGCGUCUGCGACCAGACGCGCCGCCCGCGGCUCACCCGGCGCCUCGGCGCCGGGGCACGCCGCGGGCGUCGGGCCAGCAUCGGCUCUGCCGUGGGUACAAGGACCGCGGGAACGUAGCUCCCUCGUGGAGUGUUAUAGCCCGCGGCACCAUGCCCGCGGCGGGGCCGAGG